GCCCUAGUAUUUCUUGCAUGGUAUAUCUCUAUAUUCUCCUCAAAUUUGUUGUGUUGCUCUUUUAUUUGGGUUAUGCCCGUCCUUGUGCAACAUCCUACAUGGAUGCUAUAUCAAGGGGGAAUUUUGGUACUCUUGGCCCAGUUUAUUUUUGAUUUUGCAUAUUCCCAAUUCAAUUUUUUAUUUUAUUUUUCUUUGGUUAGUUCCAAAUUUUUUAAAUGGUUUUGUCCCUGGCCCCAUCAGAUACAUUCGAGUUGUAUGUGUAUUCAACACUUAGCAAAUAAGUUCAUUCCGUAUCAAAAAUAUGUAUUUUCGUUUUUUUUAUAGUGCAUGCACAUUUUUUUAAUAUUGGAUUCACAUAUUUGUUGAGUGAUGAAUGUGUGCGUAGCUGUCCAAUGGGGUCUGAGGCAGAAGUGUGAAAAUUUAGAAACUGGGCCAUUCCUGCCAAGGAAAAAUGCCUGAAUUGCACAAAAGAAAGUAACAUGAGUUGAAAGAGCAAGAUCUUACAAGGUCAUCAGAACUCCAUUUCCAACCAUGCGUUUCCAAACACUGGUAAUAUUUCAUGUGCAGGUGAGUUUUUGACAACAGAGGAAGCAAGAAAUCGUCAACGGAUUUAUGAUGAGCUUGCAUCCAGUGGAAGGUUUUCCCCUGCACUUCUGGUUGUGAGGGAGCAUCUACCUUCGGGCAAAGCAUGCCUGAGGGUGAAUAUUGAUGCAUCAAAAGUUGGAAAUGUGGCUCGCUUCAUCAAUCACUCAUGUGAUGGUGGUAAUCUGGCAGUUAUCCUGGUAAGAAGCCCCGGCUCGUUGCUCCCAAGACUUUGUUUCUUUUCUGCCAUGGAUAUACAGGAAGAUGAAGAGCUGACCUUCAGCUAUGGAAGUGCCAAGCUCAGGCAAUACGGCCAGCAUUGCUUCUGUGGAAGCUCUGUUUGCUAUGGUAUGUUGCCUUCAGAAGAAACUUGAUGCUGCUUUCUGACUCCAUAAGAGUAUGAAGGACUCUAGUUCGAAAGUGCCAUGGCCAUUAUUCAUGGAUUACUCACCUAUCUCCUUUGCAUAUUUCUGACGGAUGAGAAUGUCAGGAAAAGACUAGAGCCAUAGGAGCGUAACAAUAUCAGUCAGUUUGGGACGUUGAUUUGAUGCUCAAUCCAGUUCCAUAAUUGGUCAUCAAAAGUGUCAUUGGCAUGUGGGUUGUCAAGUUUGGACGAACUUCUUAUUCAAAGUUCUUUGUUGGGUAUCUCCAGUAUGUGAUGUAGGACACUAGAGUCAAGCACUGUGUACAAGCAGUGACAUGCAUAAAAAAGGACAAGGUCUCUUAUGAUUUAAAAGUUCUUGAUGCCUGCUGUCCGGAACUGAGAAAUAGUGCAGAUCUGAAUUGGAUGCCAAUUAUAGUGGAGAGAGGGAGUUUGUGUAUUAGCCCUCGGAUUUUGGUAGGUCUGAAAACGUAAGAGUUUCUAGGAUUGAGAGGAUGUCAAACUAGGUGAACUUAAGAUUAAGACUGGUCUAAUGAGAUUAGAAGUGAAAAGGAAGCUUUUUUAUAUCAGAUCAAGGUCAAGCAUAGAAUAAAUCUGAUCUAGCUAGUGAUAAAUUAGCAGCCAAGAAAAAAACAGCAGUAAGGAAAUUGAGAAUGAUGAAACUGUAAUGGAUAAGAUUUUGAUAGCAUGCGGUGCAUCAACAUAAAGAAGAUGAAUAGCGGCAGAAAUAUGUAAAGAAAAAGAGAGUAGCAGAAAGUGCAGGAUGUAAGAAAAAAUAAGCAGCAGCGGCAGCAAUAUGAGGCCUCCUCUUAAAUCUCAAUCUAGAUUCCAUGUACAAUCUGUUUAGAUACGUAGGGCGGUC
This is a non-coding RNA of Phoenix dactylifera (date palm), 1826 nucleotides long. NCBI's taxonomy places the organism in Eukaryota, Viridiplantae, Streptophyta, Magnoliopsida, Arecales, Arecaceae. The record is from RefSeq and is a predicted model, not a curated record.